RNAcentral lists this ribosomal RNA (253 nucleotides) under uncultured bacterium. RNAcentral's name for it is "partial 16S ribosomal RNA". It matches the Rfam family "Bacterial small subunit ribosomal RNA", at positions 524 to 776 of the family's 1533-position model. The record is from RNAcentral.
UACGAAGGGUGCAAGCGUUACUCGGAAUUACUGGGCGUAAAGCGUGCGUAGGCGGUUUGUUAAGUCUGAUGUGAAAGCCCUGGGCUCAACCUGGGAAUUGCAUUGGAUACUGGCAGGCUAGAGUGCGGUAGAGGAUGGCGGAAUUCCCGGUGUAGCAGUGAAAUGCGUAGAUAUGCGGAGGAACACCGAUGGCGAAGGCAAUCCCCUGGGCCUGCACUGACGCUCAUGCACGAAAGCGUGGGGAGCAAACAGG